Molecule: ribosomal RNA, 514 nt
Filed under: uncultured bacterium
Lineage: Bacteria
Description: partial 16S ribosomal RNA
Rfam family: Bacterial small subunit ribosomal RNA
Source: RNAcentral
GAUGAACGCUGGCGGCGUGCCUAAUACAUGCAAGUCGAGCGAACUGAUUAGAAGCUUGCUCCUAUGACGUUAGCGGCGGACGGGUGAGUAACACGUGGGCAACCUGCCUGUAAGACUGGGAUAACUUCGGGAAACCGAAGCUAAUACCGGAUAGGAUCCUCUCCUUCAUGGGAGAUGACUGAACGAUGGUUUCGGCUAUCACUUACAGAUGGGCCCGCGGUGCAUUAGCUAGUUGGUGAGGUAACGGCUCACCAAGGCAACGAUGCAUAGCCGACCUGAGAGGGUGAUCGGCCACACUGGGACUGAGACACGGCCCAGACUCCUACGGGAGGCAGCAGUAGGGAAUCUUCCGCAAUGGACGAAAGUCUGACGGAGCAACGCCGCGUGAGUGAUGAAGGCUUUCGGGUCGUAAAACUCUGUUGUUAGGGAAGAACAAGUACAAGAGUAACUGCUUGUACCUUGACGGUACCUAACCAGAAAGCCACGGCUAACUACGUGCCAGCCGCCGCCGUAA